AGUAACGCGUGAGUAACCUGCCUUACACAAGAGGAUAGCCUUUGGAAACGAAGAAUAAUACCCUAUAAAACUAUAAAAGCACAUGCUAGAAUGGUCAAAGUGCUAGCGGUGUAAGAUGGACUUGCGUCUGAUUAGCUAGUUGGUGAGAUAAAGGCUCACCAAGGCAACGAUCAGUAGCCGGCUUGAGAGAGUGUACGGCCACAUUGGGACUGAGACACGGCCCAG
This 225-nucleotide ribosomal RNA is filed under the name uncultured Eubacteriales bacterium. RNAcentral describes it as "uncultured Clostridiales bacterium partial 16S ribosomal RNA". It matches the Rfam family "Bacterial small subunit ribosomal RNA", at positions 109 to 334 of the family's 1533-position model. Lineage: Bacteria; Bacillati; Bacillota; Clostridia; Eubacteriales. The record is from RNAcentral.